RNAcentral lists this ribosomal RNA (164 nucleotides) under Impatiens larsenii. Its description in RNAcentral is "5.8S ribosomal RNA". It matches the Rfam family "5.8S ribosomal RNA". From Rfam's summary of the family: 5.8S ribosomal RNA (5.8S rRNA) is a component of the large subunit of the eukaryotic ribosome. It is transcribed by RNA polymerase I as part of the 45S precursor that also contains 18S and 28S rRNA. Functionally, it is thought that 5.8S rRNA may be involved in ribosome translocation. The record is from RNAcentral. Lineage: Eukaryota; Viridiplantae; Streptophyta; Magnoliopsida; Ericales; Balsaminaceae.
AUAACGACUCUCGGCAACGGAUAUCUAGGCUCUCGCAUCGAUGAAGAACGUAGCAAAAUGCGAUACUUGGUGUGAAUUGCAGAAUCCCGUGAACCAUCGAGUUUUUGAACGCAAGUUGCGCCCGAAGCCAAUAGGUUGAGGGCACGUCUGCCUGGGCGUCUCGC